Long non-coding RNA from Gallus gallus (chicken), 4935 nucleotides. Lineage: Eukaryota; Metazoa; Chordata; Aves; Galliformes; Phasianidae. The record is from Ensembl.
GGUUCAGUGAUUUCUGUUUUUAAGGGAUCCAGAGGCCUCAAGAUGUUUUUACCCAUUCUUGGAAAGUGAUGCUACAAUGGGACACUCACCCUCACACAUUCCCUUACAAGAACUGUGAACUGUGGGUGCUACUCUUUCCUUCCUCUGCCCUUACUGCUACCACUCUUGUAGCACAGAUAUACAAGGAAGGGGGAAUACUGUUAGCACUGUGAGAAUAAUAUGCAGUUGAUAAGCAAAGAGGAAGAACCAAAAAACCUUCCAUAACUUACUGAGGCAUUUCUUAUAUCUAUUCUCAAAAGAGAUGUGCACUUAAAAGUAUAGAGUGAUGUUUGUAGAGAGGGUGUGGGUACAAGAGUCAAGGGAGGAGAAACAAGAAGAAGCAAUAAGAGGAGCAAUGCUUGAUAGAAACAGUAAUAAAAGGAAAAAUCAGAUCUAAGUCUGUGUUGUGUGGCAUAUAAUUCAAGAUUUAAUCUAAAUGUACCAAUUUCUCUCACAAAACAAUAGGUGAUAUUCCAACCUGUCACAUUCAAUGGAGGAAAAAUAUUAUCUGCCACCCACUGUUUCCCGCAUUGCUGGAGUUAAAAACCUUCUCUUUGCUUGCAGAGAGCUUUAAUUUGAGCCCUAUGUUUUCAGUCUCUCAGAUCAAGUUCCUCAUCUCUCUGAAUUCUCCUUAGAUUCAAGACUGGCGUGAGAAUAACAGCGGCAAUCACUUCUGUUAACAAUGGCAAAUACAAAAUAAGCAGGAAAGAGACACAUUCCUUGCCAGACCUAGUAAUUACAGACUUGGCUUGGUUCAUGCAAGUUCAACUCAAUCCAGAUUUUUCUGUAAAAGCUGAGAGUCCAAAUCCAGCAGAGAAAUGUUGCUGAACUGCACAAAAGAUGAAUUCAACCCAGACAGCACAUUCAUAUUGCCUGCAUACUCCUCACAUGCACAUCUCCUUUUGGGUUUGUCAUGCAGGAAGUCACACACAGAUUAGAAACCACCAACAGAAGAGCUUUAUGGGGAACAUCUGGACAUUUCUGCCAGUCCCAGGUACAUUGCAGAAAGAAGAAAACACGUUUAAUAAAACCUGUUGCAAAGAGAAGAAAUGAGGAGGAGGAAGGCAAUGAGAAGAAGGCAAUCUGUGACCAAGAAAUGACAGAAGCCUUCUGCUUAUAAUGCUAACUUUUGAAUAAAAGUAAGAGUAAUUGUGUUAAAAGUCAGUCACUUGUUCCUCAAGUAUCUACUAUAUUUUUUCAACUUCUGGUUUAAAAUAUUUACAGCCAUUUUAACGUAGAUUGACACCUAAAUCAGCCACUCAUGUUCAACUCAGUGGAGUCUGCACUCCAGAAGCCUUGGUCCAUACAGUUAACACAGGUUUCUUACAUGGUCUGUGGCAAAAGGUAGACCCGUGUCUGCAAGUGGUCAGGGACAUCUAAGCUAAAGGAUCAUUCCUCUCUACCGACCUUAUAAAGAAAAAAUGCUGAAAUUCAAUACCUGCUUUCUCUUGACAUCCAAGCUGAGUCUUCUGUAGAAAGACACUAGUGGAGACUCUUCGUACUGAGCAGUAACAGUAGUUUCCUGGUAGAGUAUCUGUCAAGGAAUAGAAGAUCCUCUUUGGCCAUGUUUCCCACAGCCUCAUUGCGUGACCUAGUUAGGCUACAUUACUUCAUCACUGCGCAAAGUAGAAAAGGACCAGAAUUACCCAUCCCAGCUUGUGCUCUACUACCUGCUAGGGCAGAGUCAAGAUCCCAUGUGUACUCAGCCAGAAGUCUUCACCUUCUGCCUAGCUGCCCAGUGUCAACAGGAGGGAAGAGCAUGAUGAUACCAUGAGCUUCUCACUUGGACUGAGAAAUCUUCUGUGGAGGUAGAGUUUAAGCAUCUGGACUUACCAAAGGCGGGUCUCUCCAGUCCUUGUCCAGAGAAAGUAAAAGAAGUGCGCUUUUAAGGUGCAGCCACUGCCCUGAAUUUCACAGAACUUUCAUCUGACCAAGAGAAAAUAAGUUGACUUCAGCUAAAAUUAGACUUGAGGUUGCCACCUCUGAACUUCAGGAAGAAUUUAAGAGAACUGGACCACUUGCAUCAUUAUGCCAAUAAAAUGAUACUUCUCUCUCUUUCAGCCUCUUUGUUGAGGUAUGUUGAUGAUUAGCCACCUAUGACCAGGGCAAUAUCUGCCAGGGAUUUUUACACGUUUAAGUUUCUUCACAGCCUAUAUUCUCAUUGUAGGCCAGGAGAAGCCACUGUGUUAAUGAUGGCCCUCAUAAGAAUGAAUUAUGGCCCGAGGCCAGAUUCAACAGUUUCCCAGAGACAGGAUGGCCGUUAACUGGGCAGUAGCCUGGGGUUUAUGUUUCACUACAAACCUUCUCUGUGCACAUCAGCAAGAUGUUUGAGCCAAAUCAAAGGAGUUGAGCUUCUCUGUUCUCACACUGCCAUUGGUAAAAUGACAGUCAUGACUCUUCUCCACUUCAGAGGGAUGUCGCAAGGAUAUUACAUGAAAAAAAUAUGAACAUGAGUAUUUAGAUGAACAUCAGAAAGUAUAAAACUCUCCCUGCUCCCAGGCUAGCAUACCCUUUCAUCUUUUUGGGGCCAAUGGUUUGAAGUAAAAGUUGCUGUUAACAUGUAUUUGCCUUAGCAAGGUGUUAAAGUCAUUUCUUUUUAAAUGGUGAUUCCUACACACAACCUGUUCCCAAGUUCCAGGUCCGGGUGCAAGUUCUAUUCCUGUGACUUGCAAAGCCACCGGGGACUCACAAGUGGCUCUGGCGUUGCAAAUCCACUCUUCCUGGAAAGAUUUCCUGUUCUUAUCAGGGAAGGAAACCUCAUUUAAAUUUGAAUAUUCACUUCCAAUGGUACAGAUUGUUAAAAGAUUGUUCUGCCAACAGAAUAACACAAAACUAGCAAUGUGACACUGUUAUACGAGUAAAAAUGAAGGAUGAACCAUCAAUCUGGAUUUUUAAAUGAUCUCUGUUAGAAUCUGUCACUGGUAAUAAAUGAUUGAUCCAUUUCCUAAAUAUAUAACUUUUAGCUUUUUCCUCCUCUGUUUUCAAUUUGCCUUUACUUCUCAGUCCAUCUUUUUCAGUACAAACAUGUUUUCCCCCAACACUUGUAGGACUUUUCUUUUGUGUAGGGUCUUAGUCAUCUCUGCCAGCGCUGUGCUUCCCUCCAAUGAUGAAGAAAGCAGCCCGCUCCAUGAUACUGUUGUAUGUAUGCAUUAAGUGAAAUCAGGCUGCUUUUAUAACCUAUUUCUAAAACACUCAGGGUAAUUUACUGUUGUUUUUGCAAAAUUGUGAAUAACAGAGAAUAACAAUAUUUUGAACAAAUGACGAUAUUCUUCGUCGACGGAGAAUAAACAGGCUUGUUAGGGUGUAAUUGUUGUGCAUGAGUUUCUGGUUAGUUGUUGCUAUUUCACAGGGAAAUAGGACGCACUUGAAAGCUUCCGCAUCACUCCAGCUCCAAUGCUGGUACAGAAGAUGAAUAUUUUCAAGGAGAGGUAGAAAUGUCGAUUCCACUAACAAAUUUACAGUGCAAUAUAGCGAAAGAAUAAAACACGGUUUAUGGGUUGCUUUCUCCAGCUUAUUUUUAUCUCACAGAAUAAUACUUUAAAAGCACCCUAAGAAAAUGUUUCUCUUCCUGCUGAACUAUCUUUAUUUUUAGAUUGGAUACUUACCCUAUACAACUAUUUAGUCUGAUCCAGCUGAUGCAAAAGGUUGCUCUUUCAGUGUACAGCCUGCAUUGUCCCUGCUUAAACUGAAGAUGUGGGUGCAUGCUUUAUGAACCAGCCAUCUAAACUUGAAAGUGUGCUGGAGGAGCAGAGCAAAGAAAUUAAAUCUUUUAAAGUCCUCAUCACAUUGGGUUAAUUUAGCAGGCCGUGCUUCUGUUCUGUUUGCAUGACCACAGAGUGCUUGAUUGACUUUGACAUUUGAGUGAAAUGGAUGGAUAUUAAUGAAAGGAUGCAGAUAAGGAGCUGGAGAGAUAGAUACCAGGAUCAGACUGUUAAUGCUUUUACAUUCAAACUUUAUACAUGUGUAUAUAUAAAAAAAUGCUUUUGCAAACACCAUAAUGUUCAUUACACUAUUCAGAAAAGGAGGUUUACUGUGACAAUCUGCUGAAAACUGCUUCUGUGAUGAUAACAGGAAAUCAGUCACUUAUUUUGCUGGAUUGUUCAGAAAACUGACAGACAGGCUCCGACUGAAUCUAAGCAGCCUGCACCUGGUCAGAAAACCGUGCAAUGUGACAACAGCCUCUGUGUUGCUAAUAAUUAUGCACCAAUUUAAUCAUCAACCUCAUGCUUAGCAAAAUGAAAGGAUAAAACUGGGUAAAUGAUGCAGCUAUAGGUAUUUAAAUCAUGCGGCAUUUUUUGGUAUGGUGAUGAGUGGCUCUUUUUUCUAAUUCUAGAUGAUGCUGACAGUAUUUAAAAUUGAGGUUAGAAAUUACAGCAAGAAUCUGACUUGUGAUAUGUGUCAUAAGAUGUGGCAUUUUGCUCUGAAUCGAAUAUAGAUUGUUGGUCGCUUUAAUCAAUAGCUCCGAAAGACCACAACGCAAAUAAGAUUAAAACUACUCAUUCCUUCGUAUGCAUAAUGGCCGCUUCUUUGAUUCCCAUUUAGCAUUUAAAUUAGUUCAGCCACAAAGCACAGAGUACAGAUGCAAGUUUGAUUAUAUCAUUAGCGAAGUUCUCCUGGAUCAAUUUAAAACUAUUACACUUCAGAAAGAAUUAAGACGGAGCUCUACGGGAAGAUAUUUCCAGGCACAGAUCUUGUCUAUUGUCAUGUAUGUGAGUGCUUUGGUUUUUUUUUUUCCUCCUACAAGGAAGACGCACUAUUAAUUCUUUCAAAAGUCUUUACCAUGCUAUUCCACCACAUAGAAUCCAUGUGGCCAUCUUUGUGACCAUCGUGCCUCAUACCUGACAGUCUUUUGGCUCUGGUUUUCACUCCGAUAAGAAGAAACUUCACUUGAGUACA